UCGGCGGGCUGGAUAAGUGCAUCUUGCUUAUUGUUGGGAAUACCCCAUCGAUAGGCGGAUGAGGAAAGUCCGGGCUCCACGAGACAGGGUGCCAUAUAACAUGUGGCGAAGGCAACUUCAGGGAAAGUGCCACAGAAAAUAACCGCCUGAGGGGCGUCUGUCCCUAGGGUAAGGGUGAAAAGGUGUGGUAAGAGCACACCGCGCUCGUGGCAACACUGAGCGGACAAGGUAAACCCCACUCGGAGCAAGUCUAAAUGGAGCAUAGCCAUCAGGCGGCUUUGUCUCGGUGCCUUUAUGCUCAGGUGAGACGCUUCAAGACGUAUGCCCUUAUGGGACGUCUGAGAUAAAUACUUAUCCGCACGUCCAUGCUGUCUGCAUGAUGUGUGACAGAACCCGGCUUAUAGGCUCGCCGAUAGA
This 417-nucleotide RNase P RNA is filed under the name Alphaproteobacteria bacterium GM7ARS4. Its description in RNAcentral is "RNase P RNA component class A". It matches the Rfam family "Bacterial RNase P class A". Rfam says of the family: Ribonuclease P (RNase P) is a ubiquitous endoribonuclease, found in archaea, bacteria and eukarya as well as chloroplasts and mitochondria. Its best characterised activity is the generation of mature 5'-ends of tRNAs by cleaving the 5'-leader elements of precursor-tRNAs. The record is from RNAcentral. Lineage: Bacteria; Pseudomonadati; Pseudomonadota; Alphaproteobacteria.